RNAcentral lists this transfer RNA (355 nucleotides) under Paramuricea clavata. The stretch from base 211 to 283 matches the Rfam family "tRNA". The record is from RNAcentral. Lineage: Eukaryota; Metazoa; Cnidaria; Anthozoa; Malacalcyonacea; Plexauridae.
GUAUUCCAAAGGUCGUAGGUUCGAAUCCCACCGUGGCCGGGCAUAUUUUUCAAGCUCGCCCGGUGUGGAUAUACACUCAGAGUAACACCACAAAUAUCAUAUUCACCUGAGUACACUGCACCAACACUGAAAAAAAUUCAUAUUACUAGAAUACAUUGGUAUCGAAGGAACUAGAUUCUGUUCCGAAAUUCCACUUACUCGAAUCGUCCUGACCGCGUAGCUCAGUUGGAAGAGCAUUGGGCUAGUAUUCCAAAGCUCGUAGGUUCGAAUCCCACCGUGGCCGGGCAUAUUUUUCGGGCUCGCCCGGUGUGGAUAUACACUCAGAGUAACACCACAAAUAUCAUAUUCACCUGAG